CUUAAAUAAUUUAAUAAAAAAUAUUGAUUUGUGGAGUCAAAAAUAUGAAUAUAUCAUUUUAAGUU
RNAcentral lists this transfer RNA (65 nucleotides) under Kallima paralekta. RNAcentral's name for it is "tRNA-His". Lineage: Eukaryota; Metazoa; Arthropoda; Insecta; Lepidoptera; Nymphalidae. The record is from RNAcentral.